GAUGAACGCUGGCGGCGUGCCUAAUACAUGCAAGUCGAGCGAACGGACGAGAAUCUUGCUUCUCUGAUGUUAGCGGCGCACGUGUGUGUCACGCGUGUAUCACCUCCCUAUAUGAGGGGGAUCACUUCGGGACACCGGCGCUAAUACCGGAUAAUAUCUUGCACCGCAUGGUUGAAAAGUGAGAGUCGGUGUUGCUGUCUCUUAUAGCUGGUUCUCGGCUGCUUUAGCUGGUUGUGAAGGUAACGGCUUACCACGGCGACGAUGCAUAGACGACCUGAGAGGGGGAUAGGCGACAUGGGAACGUAGACACGGUCCAGGGUCCUGAGGUAGGCAGCAGUAGGGAAUCUUCCGCAACGGGCGAAAGUCUGACGGAGCAACGCCGCGUGAGUGAUGACGGUGUCCGGAGCGGAAUACUCGGUUUUGGGUGAAGAACAGAUGUGUAAGUAACUGUACACAUAGUGACGGUACCGAGUAAGAAAGCCCCGGCUAACUACGUG
Molecule: ribosomal RNA, 497 nt
Filed under: uncultured bacterium
Lineage: Bacteria
Description: partial 16S ribosomal RNA
Rfam family: Bacterial small subunit ribosomal RNA
Source: RNAcentral